This 301-nucleotide ribosomal RNA is filed under the name uncultured bacterium. Its description in RNAcentral is "partial 16S ribosomal RNA". It matches the Rfam family "Bacterial small subunit ribosomal RNA", at positions 509 to 809 of the family's 1533-position model. The record is from RNAcentral.
CAGCCGCCGCGGUAAUACGGAGGGGGCUAGCGUUGUUCGGAAUUACUGGGCGUAAAGCGCACGUAGGCGGCUUGGUAAGUUAGAGGUGAAAGCCCGGAGCUCAACUCCGGAAUUGCCUUUAAGACUGCCGAGCUAGCAGGUGAGAGAGGUAAGUGGAAUUCCGAGUGUAGAGGUGAAAUUCGUAGAUAUUCGGAAGAACACCAGUGGCGAAGGCGGCUUACUGGCUCAUACUGGACGCUGAGGUGCGAAAGCGUGGGGAGCAAACAGGAUUAGAUACCCCGGUAGUCCCUGUCUCUUAUCC